This 490-nucleotide ribosomal RNA is filed under the name uncultured organism. Its description in RNAcentral is "bacterial SSU rRNA". It matches the Rfam family "Bacterial small subunit ribosomal RNA", at positions 30 to 507 of the family's 1533-position model. The record is from RNAcentral.
AUUGAACGCUGGCGGCAGGCCUAACACAUGCAAGUCGAACGGCAGCACAGAAGAGCUUGCUCUUUGGGUGGCGAGUGGCGGACGGGUGAGUAACACGUAGGAAUCUACCCAGUAGUGGGGGAUAACCUGGGGAAACCCAGGCUAAUACCGCAUACGCCCUGAGGGGGAAAGCGGGGGAUCUUCGGACCUCGCGCUAUUGGAUGAGCCUGCGUCGGAUUAGCUAGUUGGUGGGGUAAGGGCUCACCAAGGCGACGAUCCGUAGCUGGUCUGAGAGGAUGACCAGUCACACCGGAACUGAGACACGGUCCGGACUCCUACGGGAGGCAGCAGUGGGGAAUAUUGGACAAUGGGCGCAAGCCUGAUCCAGCCAUGCCGCGUGGGUGAAGAAGGCCUUCGGGUUGUAAAGCCCUUUAGGUGGGGAGGAAGGCAUUCAUGCUAAUACCAUGGAUGAUUGACGUUACCCACAGAAUAAGCACCGGCUAACUCCGUG